RNAcentral lists this ribosomal RNA (468 nucleotides) under uncultured bacterium. RNAcentral's name for it is "partial 16S ribosomal RNA". It matches the Rfam family "Bacterial small subunit ribosomal RNA", at positions 28 to 507 of the family's 1533-position model. The record is from RNAcentral.
GACGAACGCUGGCGGCGUGCUUAACACAUGCAAGUCGAACGGUGAUGCUCCAGCUUGCCGGAGUGGAUCAGUGGCGAACGGGUGAGUAACACGUGAGCAACCUGCCCCAGACUCUGGAAUAAGCGCUGGAAACGGCGUCUAAUACUGGAUACGAAACUGGCCCGCAUGGGCAUGGUUUGGAAAGUUUUUCGGUUUGGGAUGGGCUCGCGGCCUAUCAGCUUGUUGGUGAGGUAAUGGCUCACCAAGGCGACGACGGGUAGCCGGCCUGAGAGGGCGACCGGCCACACUGGGACUGAGACACGGCCCAGACUCCUACGGGAGGCAGCAGUGGGGAAUAUUGCACAAUGGGCGAAAGCCUGAUGCAGCGACGCCGCGUGAGGGAUGACGGCCUUCGGGUUGUAAACCUCUUUCAGCAGGGAAGAAGCGAAAGUGACGGUACCUGCAGAAGAAGCACCGGCUAACUACGUG